Molecule: ribosomal RNA, 373 nt
Filed under: uncultured organism
Description: partial 16S ribosomal RNA
Rfam family: Bacterial small subunit ribosomal RNA
Source: RNAcentral
GUAGGUGGCAAGCGUUGUCCGGAAUUAUUGGGCGUAAAGCGCGCGCAGGCGGUCCUUUAAGUCUGAUGUGAAAGCCCACGGCUCAACCGUGGAGGGUCAUUGGAAACUGGGGGACUUGAGUACAGAAGAGGAAAGCGGAAUUCCAAGUGUAGCGGUGAAAUGCGUAGAGAUUUGGAGGAACACCAGUGGCGAAGGCGGCUUCCUGGUCUGUAACUGACGCUGAGGCGCGAAAGCGUGGGGAGCAAACAGGAUUAGAUACCCUGGUAGUCCACGCCGUAAACGAUGAGUGCUAAGUGUUAGGGGGUUUCCCGCCCCCUUAGUGCUGCAGCUAACGCAUUAAGCACUCCGCCUGGGGAGUACGGCCGCAAGGCUG